RNAcentral lists this ribosomal RNA (1646 nucleotides) under Salmonella enterica subsp. enterica serovar Typhimurium. Its description in RNAcentral is "partial 23S ribosomal RNA". It matches the Rfam family "Bacterial large subunit ribosomal RNA", at positions 430 to 1874 of the family's 2925-position model. Lineage: Bacteria; Pseudomonadati; Pseudomonadota; Gammaproteobacteria; Enterobacterales; Enterobacteriaceae. The record is from RNAcentral.
UAUCCUGUCUGAAUAUGGGGGGACCAUCCUCCAAGGCUAAAUACUCCUGACUGACCGAUAGUGAACCAGUACCGUGAGGGAAAGGCGAAAAGAACCCCGGCGAGGGGAGUGAAAAAGAACCUGAAACCGUGUACGUACAAGCAGUGGGAGCCCCACCACUAAGCCAGUGGUGAACUCCACAUCCGCAUCCUUUGCUGAGGAUACGGUUAACGGAGCGAAAGCGACGUUCAACCGCAAAACAAGCAGAGGGGGCUUAGUGGUGGGGUGACUGCGUACCUUUUGUAUAAUGGGUCAGCGACUUAUAUUCUGUAGCAAGGUUAACCGAAUAGGGGAGCCGGAGGGAAACCGAGUCUUAAUUGGGCGUUAAGUUGCAGGGUAUAGACCCGAAACCCGGUGAUCUAGCCAUGGGCAGGUUGAAGGUUGGGUAACACUAACUGGAGGACCGAACCGACUAAUGUUGAAAAAUUAGCGGAUGACCUGUGGCUGGGGGUGAAAGGCCAAUCAAACCGGGAGAUAGCUGGUUCUCCCCGAAAGCUAUUUAGGUAGCGCCUCGUGAAUUCAUCUCCGGGGGUAGAGCACUGUUUCGGCUAGGGGGCCAUCCCGGCUUACCAACCCGAUGCAAACUGCGAAUACCGGAGAAUGUUAUCACGGGAGACACACGGCGGGUGCUAACGUCCGUCGUGAAGAGGGAAACAACCCAGACCGCCAGCUAAGGUCCCAAAGUCAUGGUUAAGUGGGAAACGAUGUGGGAAGGCCCAGACAGCCAGGAUGUUGGCUUAGAAGCAGCCAUCAUUUAAAGAAAGCGUAAUAGCUCACUGGUCGAGUCGGCCUGCGCGGAAGAUGUAACGGGGCUAAACCAUGCACCGAAGCUGCGGCAGCGAACGUAUCACCCAAGACAACUUUACGGAGUUGACGAUUGACGGAGCGAAGCGACGUCAAAGCGUUCAUUAAAGUCGAGUUGGCUUAGGGAUACGUUCGUUGGGUAGGGGAGCGUUCUGUAAGCCUGUGAAGGUGUGUCGUGAGGCAUGCUGGAGGUAUCAGAAGUGCGAAUGCUGACAUAAGUAACGAUAAAGCGGGUGAAAAGCCCGCUCGCCGGAAGACCAAGGGUUCCUGUCCAACGUUAAUCGGGGCAGGGUGAGUCGACCCCUAAGGCGAGGCCGAAAGGCGUAGUCGAUGGGAAACGGGUUAAUAUUCCCGUACUUGGUGUUACUGCGAAGGGGGGACGGAGAAGGCUAUGUUGGCCGGGCGACGGUUGUCCCGGUUUAAGCGUGUAGGUGUGUGUUCCAGGUAAAUCCGGUUCACUUUAACACUGAGGCGUGACGACGAGGCACUACGGUGCUGAAGCAACAAAUGCCCUGCUUCCAGGAAAAGCCUCUAAGCAUCAGGUAACACGAAAUCGUACCCCAAACCGACACAGGUGGUCAGGUAGAGAAUACCAAGGCGCUUGAGAGAACUCGGGUGAAGGAACUAGGCAAAAUGGUGCCGUAACUUCGGGAGAAGGCACGCUGACACGUAGGUGAAGUGAUUUACUCAUGGAGCUGAAGUCAGUCGAAGAUACCAGCUGGCUGCAACUGUUUAUUAAAAACACAGCACUGUGCAAACACGAAAGUGGACGUAUACGGUGUGACGCCUGCCCGGUGCCGGAA